UGACCUGUAUUUUCCUUCUUCCAGAU
This 26-nucleotide non-coding RNA is filed under the name Rattus norvegicus (Norway rat). Lineage: Eukaryota; Metazoa; Chordata; Mammalia; Rodentia; Muridae. The record is from RNAcentral.